UACAGAGGUCCCAAGCGUUGUUCGGAUUCACUGGGCGUAAAGGGUGCGUAGGCGGUCGGGUAAGUCUGACGUGAAAUCUUCAAGCUUAACUUGGAAACUGCGUCGGAUACUAUUCGGCUGGAGGAAUGGAGGGGAGACUGGAAUACUUGGUGUAGCAGUGAAAUGCGUAGAUAUCAAGUGGAACACCAGUGGCGAAGGCGGGUCUCUGGCACGCAUCUGACGCUGAACCACGAAAGCCAGGGGAGCGAACGGG
RNAcentral lists this ribosomal RNA (253 nucleotides) under uncultured bacterium. RNAcentral describes it as "partial 16S ribosomal RNA". It matches the Rfam family "Bacterial small subunit ribosomal RNA", at positions 524 to 776 of the family's 1533-position model. The record is from RNAcentral.